Molecule: transfer RNA, 77 nt
Filed under: Nitratireductor thuwali
Lineage: Bacteria; Pseudomonadati; Pseudomonadota; Alphaproteobacteria; Hyphomicrobiales; Phyllobacteriaceae
Description: Nitratireductor sp. 1536 tRNA-Asn
Rfam family: tRNA
About the family: Transfer RNA (tRNA) molecules are approximately 80 nucleotides in length. Their secondary structure includes four short double-helical elements and three loops (D, anti-codon, and T loops).
Source: RNAcentral
UGCCGGGUCGCCUAGCGGUAAGGGCCUGGGGGCGGUUCAACUCCUGUGCACGGGUUCGAAUCCCGUCCCGGCAACCA